AACAUCUUUGAGGGUGACUGGGAGUCCCUGGGCAACCCUAGGGAAAUUAUGUAGAUCGUUUAUCUUUGCAAUAUUGUUGAUGUUCUAGUACUUCAAAUUUAAUUUAGUUCUUUAUUUCUCUACCAGAAUUCACUGAGAUUUCAAUGUUAUUCACUUGCAAAAGACCGUUACAUUAUUAGAGAUCGAUGCACCUCUUGCCAUUUUCCAUCCCCUGACUCCCGAUGCGACCCUUGGCUUUUCCUUGGCAACUGAGAUCCAUUAAUAUACCGAUACCCUCCUCAUGUAUUAACCAACCCCUCCAUUGCCUUGCCUCCAC
RNAcentral lists this long non-coding RNA (316 nucleotides) under Setaria viridis. RNAcentral's name for it is "long non-coding RNA (SVIR_LNC003496)". Lineage: Eukaryota; Viridiplantae; Streptophyta; Magnoliopsida; Poales; Poaceae. The record is from RNAcentral.